AUGCAAGUCGAACGGUCUCUUCGGAGAUAGUGGCGGACGGGUGAGUAACGCGUGAGAACAUGCCUUUAGAUUGGGGACAACAGUUGGAAACGACUGCUAAUACCGAAUGUGCCUUAGGGUGAAAGAUUUAUUGUCUAGAGAUUGGCUCGCGUCAGAUUAGCUAGUUGGAGUGGUAACGGCACACCAAGGCGACGAUCUGUACUUGGUCUGAGAGGAUGACCAGGCACACUGGAACUGAGACACGGUCCAGACUCCUACGGGAGGCAGCAGUGGGGAAUUUUCCGCAAUGGGCGAAAGCCUGACGGAGCAAUACCGCGUGAGGGAGGACGGCUUUUGGGUUGUAAACCUCUUUUAUCAGGGAAGAAUCGAUGACGGUACCUGAUGAAUCAGCAUCGGCUAACUCCGUGCCAGCAGCCGCGGUAAUACGGAGGAUGCAAGCGUUAUCCGGAAUUAUUGGGCGUAAAGCGUCCGUAGGUGGUUUAUCAAGUCUGCUGUCAAAGCGUGCGGCUUAACCGCAUAAGGGCAGUGGAAACUGAUGAACUAGAGUGCGAUAGGGGUAACAGGAAUUCCCAGUGUAGCGGUGAAAUGCGUAGAUAUUGGGAAGAACACCAGCGGCGAAAGCGUGUUACUGGGUCUGCACUGACACUGAGGGACGAAAGCUAGGGGAGCGAAAGGGAUUAGAUACCCCUGUAGUCCUAGCCGUAAACGAUGACAACUAGGCGUGGUUCGUAUCGACCCGAGCCGUGCCGUAGCCAACGCGUUAAGUUGUCCGCCUGGGGAGUACGCACGCAAGUGUGAAACUCAAAGGAAUUGACGGGGGCCCGCACAAGCGGUGGAGUAUGUGGUUUAAUUCGAUGCAACGCGAAGAACCUUACCAAGGCUUGACAUCCUCGGAACCCUGAUGAAAGUUAGGGGUGCCUUCGGGAGCCGAGAGACAGGUGGUGCAUGGCUGUCGUCAGCUCGUGUCGUGAGAUGUUGGGUUAAGUCCCGCAACGAGCGCAACCCACGUUUUUAGUUGCCAGCAUUCAGUUGGGCACUCUAGAGAGACUGCCGGUGACAAACCGGAGGAAGGUGUGGAUGACGUCAAGUCAGCAUGCCCCAUACGCCUUGGGCUACACACGUACUACAAUGCGUCGGACAAAGAGCAGCCAGCCAGCGAUGGUGAGCCAAUCUCAUAAACCGGCGCUCAGUUCAGAUUGCAGGCUGCAACUCGCCUGCAUGAAGGCGGAAUCGCUAGUAAUCGCAGGUCAGCAUACUGCGGUGAAUACGUUCCCGGGCCUUGUACACACCGCCCGUCACACCAUGGGAGUUGGUCACGCCCGAAGUCGUUACUCUAACUGCUGCAGAGGA
RNAcentral lists this ribosomal RNA (1350 nucleotides) under Leptolyngbya sp. WUC 59. Its description in RNAcentral is "bacterial SSU rRNA". It matches the Rfam family "Bacterial small subunit ribosomal RNA". Lineage: Bacteria; Bacillati; Cyanobacteriota; Cyanophyceae; Leptolyngbyales; Leptolyngbyaceae. The record is from RNAcentral.